This 253-nucleotide ribosomal RNA is filed under the name uncultured bacterium. Its description in RNAcentral is "partial 16S ribosomal RNA". It matches the Rfam family "Bacterial small subunit ribosomal RNA", at positions 524 to 776 of the family's 1533-position model. The record is from RNAcentral.
UACAGAGGUGCCAAGCGUUAGGCGGAAUCACUGGGCUUAAAGGGCGCGUAGGCGGUCCGACAAGUCAGGGGUGAAAUCCUGCAGCUUAACUGCAGAAGUGCCUUUGAUACUGUCGGUCUUGAGGGAGAUAGGGGUGUGCGGAACUCACAGUGGAGCGGUGAAAUGCGUUGAUAUUGUGAGGAACGCCGGAGGCGAAAGCGGCGCACUGGAUCUCUUCUGACGCUGAGGCGCGAAAGCUAGGGGAGCAAACGGG